Molecule: ribosomal RNA, 83 nt
Filed under: uncultured bacterium
Lineage: Bacteria
Description: partial 16S ribosomal RNA
Source: RNAcentral
UCAUGAAAGCCGUUUGUACCCGAAGUCACCGUGCUAACUCGCAAGAGAGGCAGGUGCCGAAGGUAUGGAUGGUGAUUGGGAUG